AAACUUUCAAACAGCCUAUCCUAUUUGAUUGGAAACUAGAGUAUUGUGAAGAUUGUAGGAUGGUAGGGCAUUAAUGUUUAAAGAAAAUAUCUCAGCACCCCUUCACCUAAAGCAAAACCACCUCAACCUCCUAAACCCCAACCAAAAUUAAUAGCUGCUUGGUUGCCUAGGGAAGUAGCAUAAUCGGGUAUUCACCAACCUCAGGCAAAGAAGGUGAUGCAACAAGCUCCUGUGAACAUUGAUUGUUUCACCUGACUCAACUGAAGUUUUUACACCUAUAACAGGUAAUAGUAAGCAUGGCAUCAAGGGGAAGAAUGUGGCUGAAAGUAGUGCCUCAAAAAGUUAUGCUCAAGUUAUAUCAGUGGUCACAAGAAAUGGUUUUGAGGCUUUACAAACUAACUAGGUUGUGUUGGCUUAUAAUUCACCACAAAAUGAAGGUGAAAGUAAUGGACCUUCUUCUACUCUCUAGUGUUUUGGUUAGUGUGGAAUGAUCAAGGUAUUAAUAAAAAUAAUAAGCAGAGGGAGUUGAAUAAGUACAUUAAGGAUAAUCAUAUGCCUUAAUACCUGACUAGUGUUUUGUUCAUAAUUAUGCUGGUGUUGUCAAUAGUAGAGUAUGGGUUGGCUGGGAUGAAGUUGUAUAUGAGGUCAAAUUGAUUUAGCAAAAUGCUCAAUACAUUCAUUGUCAAGUUUUAAGCAGGG
Molecule: long non-coding RNA, 699 nt
Filed under: Capsicum annuum
Lineage: Eukaryota; Viridiplantae; Streptophyta; Magnoliopsida; Solanales; Solanaceae
Description: long non-coding RNA (CANN_LNC000594)
Source: RNAcentral